Long non-coding RNA from Homarus americanus (American lobster), 1098 nucleotides. RefSeq lists it as uncharacterized. The record is from RefSeq and is a predicted model, not a curated record. The transcript is spliced from 3 exons. Lineage: Eukaryota; Metazoa; Arthropoda; Malacostraca; Decapoda; Nephropidae.
GUGGAGCUGCUGCCUCGCCUCCUCACCUCUGACGUGGCCACACUACACCAACUCACACACACGUCCACGAUAAUCCAAGCUAUUUAAGAGAAGUGUAUUAUGAGGGACUUCUCUCGGCAGUAGUUUGUACAGGAGUUAUAGAGGGAGGGAGGGGGACGUUUAUGCUGUAUAGGCCUAGUUUGUCCAGGAGUUAUAGUGGGACGUUUAUGCUGUAUAGGCCUAGUGUCUCGGCAGUAGUUUGUCUAGGAGUUAUAGAGUGAGGGAGGGGGACGUUUAUGCUGUAUAGGCCUAGUGAAGCAACGUUUAAUGCCCUACACAUGAUACACACUUGACCCUUACUCAGGGCCGGAUUUAGGCAUAAGCUAAACAAGCCUCACAGUCUGAAGGGGCCUCUCAAAACUUAAGAUUUUUUUGCAUUUGUUAGUUUUAUUAUAAUUUAUAUUUAAGUAAUGAUUCAACCUAAUUAACAUGCAACUAAUUAUGCUAUACAUCUAUAGGCUGACUGAGAAGAAGUGUCCCCCCCCCCUCCCCCAGUUUAAUAAAAAAUUAUAGGCCCUUUUGAAGAUUGGGGCCCCAUAGUUAUAUUUCUGAGCCCCUGAAAUUUUAACAUUAACAUAAAGCAUUAUAUUAUAUACUGUACAUGUAACUGGGUAUAUAACUUUGGGUGAAGUGAGUGGCAAGACGACAAGACAGUAGUGAUAGUGCUACUCCCUGGUGGCUGGGCCCGGCAGUAGGGAUGGUGCCAAGUGGGAACACAGUAGUGACAUGAGUUUCACAUCCUCUGUCGACAGUUCUCAGUAGUGACAUGAGUUUCACAUCCUCUAUCAGCAGUUCUCUUAACCCAAACAAUAACACAAGCCACUGGGUGUGUCACAGUGAGUGGGACUCCUACUGAGAUGUUCCGGGUAGCUUACUGACCUACUGCCAGCUUCCGGUUCUUGUGAGAUUCAGUGAAGCUUCCUAGUGAAUCUACAGUAGAUGUCAAAUGGUGAAGCUGUCCUCUGAACCACACAAAACAGAAGUACAGACGCAUGAUGGUACAGCUGCUCCCCGACUUACAACGGGGUUAGGGACCCAAAUCCAGGUCGUAAGUCGAAA